GGGUGAGUAACGCGUAGGAAUCUACCUAGUAGAAGGGGAUAGCCCGAGGAAACUCGGAUUAAUACCGCAUACGCCCUACGGGGGAAAGCAGGGGAUCUUCGGACCUUGCGCUAUUGGAUGAGCCUGCGUUGGAUUAGCUUGUUGGUGGGGUAAAGGCCUACCAAGGCGACGAUCUUUAGCUGGUCUGAGAGGAUGAUCAGCCACACUGGGACUGAGAUACGGCCCAGACUCC
Molecule: ribosomal RNA, 232 nt
Filed under: uncultured bacterium
Lineage: Bacteria
Description: partial 16S ribosomal RNA
Rfam family: Bacterial small subunit ribosomal RNA
Source: RNAcentral